ACAAGUCGCCCCAUCUCCACACCACACGGUAGUUGUAUCACCUCGGGCAAGAAGCAGCAGCAUCCAUGGCGCCAGCGAUGCAGAAGGCCGUCCCGUCCGGGAAGGAUCUCAAGGGCGAGAAGCCGCGGCCGAAGGGCAAGCCUGAAGGCAAGGGAAAGCCCCACGCCGUCAUCGAUAGGAAAUUCUCCUAGUCUAUGAAUUAUGCUCCUUGCCUGAACAACGGUGCCCGGAGUGUGCUUGGUCUUCUCUA
Triticum aestivum (bread wheat) is the source of this 250-nucleotide long non-coding RNA. RefSeq lists it as uncharacterized. Lineage: Eukaryota; Viridiplantae; Streptophyta; Magnoliopsida; Poales; Poaceae. The record is from RefSeq and is a predicted model, not a curated record. The transcript is spliced from 2 exons.